AUGAACGCUGGCGGCGUGCCUAAUACAUGCAAGUCGAGCGAACAGAUAAGGAGCUUGCUCCUUUGACGUUAGCGGCGGACGGGUGAGUAACACGUGGGUAACCUACCUAUAAGACUGGGAUAACUUCGGGGAACCGGAGCUAAUACCGGAUAACAUUUGGAACCGCAUGGUUCUAAAGUGAAAGAUGGUUUUGCUAUCACUUAUAGAUGGACCCGCGCCGUAUUAGCUAGUUGGUAAGGUAACGGCUUACCAAGGCAACGAUACGUAGCCGACCUGAGAGGGUGAUCGGCCACACUGGAACUGAGACACGGUCCAGACUCCUACGGGAGGCAGCAGUAGGGAAUCUUCCGCAAUGGGCGAAAGCCUGACGGAGCAACGCCGCGUGAGUGAUGAAGGGUUUCGGCUCGUAAAACUCUGUUAUUAGGGAAGAACAAACGUGUAAGUAAUUGUGCACGUCUUGACGGUACCUAAUCAGAAAGCCACGGCUAACUACGUG
RNAcentral lists this ribosomal RNA (496 nucleotides) under uncultured bacterium. Its description in RNAcentral is "partial 16S ribosomal RNA". It matches the Rfam family "Bacterial small subunit ribosomal RNA", at positions 29 to 507 of the family's 1533-position model. The record is from RNAcentral.